Bacillus rossius redtenbacheri is the source of this 2104-nucleotide long non-coding RNA. RefSeq lists it as uncharacterized. Lineage: Eukaryota; Metazoa; Arthropoda; Insecta; Phasmatodea; Bacillidae. The transcript is spliced from 2 exons. The record is from RefSeq and is a predicted model, not a curated record.
UACGUGGUUUCAUACGCCUGAUAGCCUGUUUAACUUCCUGAGAUUGAGUUAAGUAAGGUUUUGAGGUUAAAGGCUGAUUAAGUUUAAUUGUAAGGUCUCUGUAUAUUCUGGCAUUAAAUUGCGGGUCACAGGAUUCGAUAUUAAGUUGAAAGGCUAAUUCAAGGGUAUUCGCGAAGGCUUGUGCUUUGUCUGUCGGUGUAAAAGCGAACCCAGUGCGUGUUUGUAGCGGAGGUAUUUUAUCUAUCUUAUGAAGGAAUCGCUUUGUCAUACUCCAGGUGCUACCAUCUUGCACCUGUAGCUGAGAGACUUUCGUCUCCCAUUGGCUGCUCCUCCAUAGAGUUAUUUCAUCGGUAAUUAUUUUCUGUAAUUCAUUAAUUCUCGCUUUAAUGUCGCGCUGCCUACGUCGAGUAUAUUCGCGCCUUAAUCUAUUUUUCUGAGAAAUUAAAUCCCUAAUAUACACCGGCAGUUCAUCUUGCUUAAAUCUAACCACCUUUUCUGGGAUGCACGAGUUAAUUGCAGUUUGAAUUUUAACUGUAAGUUCAGUGACUGCUGAUUCGAUGUUAUCUUUUGUUUUGAAGUUGGCAGCAUCGGCUGCAGGCAAAUUAUCGACUAAAUACGUCUGAAAGCCUCUCCAGUCAGCUUUCUUGUAGUCUUUAAUUUUUCUCGGAGGACUGAUGUCAGUGUCCACGUCAUCGAAUAGUAGAUGUACUGGAAAGUGGUCAGACGACAUUUCGUGAAAGACUCUGAGUUCGAAUCCCGUUUGAACUCUCUUAUUUAAUGCAAUAUCUAAAAUAUCGGGGUUGUGCCUUAGUACUCCGCUAUCGUGAGUGGGCUCUGAGGGAGCAUGUACUUGAUAAUUUUUGUUAGACUCGUGUCUUUGCAGCAGUAGGCCAUUGGCUGUAUUGCUCCGACAGUUCCAGUCUUUAUGUUUGGCAUUAAUAUUGCCGACUGCUAGGAAUGUGGGAGCUGAGCCAUAUAAGAUGUCCAGCUCGUUUUCAGUUAGUGACCUGCCCGGUGGUGCAUACAUCGAAAUAAGCACAAUUUGUUGUUUAUUGACUUUAAAAGUAAUUGCCACAGCUUCUAAUUUAUUAAAUUCAGGUAAAUGAAAUUCACUAUGUUGUAUACUUCUGUGGAUUAGUAGGGCAACCCCUCCACUUCUGGUAUCGCGGUCGCGCCUAUAAAUAGUGUAAUUUAAGAUAGUUAGACGAUCUGUUGGAAUUAAGUGUGUUUCGUUUAUCGCCGCGAUUCUAAUAUUAUGUUUAAUUAAAUGAUCGGUAAAUUCGAUUAUUUUAUUUCUAAUUCCUCGCGCAUUCCAGUAAAGGAUGGUACUUAAUCUACUGUCUACGGGGGUAGUAUUAAUGGCAGAACCUAAAUUAAGGGUGUGCAGCAUUAAAGCUGGCCGCUAAUGCUGUCACGAAGCCCGUGGUGGCUUUUAUUUUGUCCUCUAUUGACUUGGACGGAUUACACCAAAUAGCCAUUAAAAUGCACAUUGGUUCCAGGACGUGUGCCAGGUUAGGGUCCUGUGUAAUGGCAUCCGAUUGGCCUACGAGCUUCAGAAAGUCGCUCGCGUCCAUCGCUGGCUUCUCCGCGGGAUUUAGCUGCGGUGAAGCAGUUGGCAUUACUGUUGGUGAGUCAGUCUGCAACGGGCUGGCUUGUUAUAAGUUGCGAUAAAUAACGAAGGUUUGCGAAGAAUAUCGCAGGAACCAGCAACGUGAUUACGAACACAUCGUGUUUCGUUAAACUUCGAAUAUUGAUGACGUUGUGGCGGUAUAUAUCGCAAACUUUGAUUACGAGCACACUUUUCAAGUGAUAUUUAUCGCACCGGAGCUACGUUAUAUAUCACGGGCAUUUCAAGUGGUGAUACGAAGCGAUUGUGAGGUUCUACACAAUGGCCUUUGCUGCCUUUCUGCUAAAUAUCGAACUGGAGGAGAAGGCAGAGAAGAUUGUUAAGAAACCAUCAAAAUCCCUUCGAAUUGUUAGAUUGCACCCUCAUAGCAGUUGGAAAACCUUAGAAAAUGAAGAAACAUGAAGAAACGAGCUAUGCAAUUUAAUAAAUACUUUGUUAUCAAGUUUGUUGCAUUUAUUAAAGAAAUUGUGAAAAUAA